Molecule: ribosomal RNA, 507 nt
Filed under: uncultured bacterium
Lineage: Bacteria
Description: partial 16S ribosomal RNA
Rfam family: Bacterial small subunit ribosomal RNA
Source: RNAcentral
GACGAACGCUGGCGGCGUGCUUAACACAUGCAAGUCGAACGGGCCUUGUCCCCUUUUUUUUGGGGGUGGGGUUAGUGGCGAACGGGUGAGUAACACGUGAGUAACCUGCCCCUCACUUCUGGAUAACCGCUUGAAAGGGUGGCUAAUACGGGGUGUUCUGGCCUGCUCGCAUGGGUGGGUUUGGAAAGAUUCGACCGGUUUUGGUUGUUUUGGUGGGGGAUGGGCUCGCGGCCUAUCAGCUUGUUGGUGGGGUGAUGGCCUGCCAAGGCUUUGACGGGUAGCCGGCCUGAGAGGGUGGGCGGUCACACUGGGACUGAGACACGGCCCAGACUCCUACGGGAGGCAGCAGUGGGGAAUAUUGCACAAUGGGCGAAAGCCUGAUGCAGCGACGCCGCGUGAGGGAUGGAGGCCUUCGGGUUGUGAACCUCUUUCGCCAGUGAAGAAGGUCCUGCUCUUUGUGGUGGGGUUGACGGUAGCGGGGUUAAUGAAGCGCCGGCUAACUACGUG